Molecule: ribosomal RNA, 239 nt
Filed under: Rhamphosipyloidea gorkomi
Lineage: Eukaryota; Metazoa; Arthropoda; Insecta; Phasmatodea; Lonchodidae
Description: partial 12S ribosomal RNA
Source: RNAcentral
UAAACUAGGAUUAGAUACCCUAUUAUAAUAUAUCUAAAAUUUUAACCUGGGUAAUAAUAGUUAUGUUCUUUAAACCUAAAGAAUUUGGCGGUGUUUUAUUCUAUUCAGAGGAAUUUGCCCCGUUAUCGAUAAUCCUCGGUUUAUCUUACUUAUUUUUGUUUAUCAGUAUGUAUACCGCCGUUAUAAGUUUAUUUUAUUAGAAUAAAAAUUUACUUAUUUCUUAUUUUUGAAUUAUUUCA